UACCAGCACCCCGAGUGGUCGGGACGAUUAUUGGGCCUAAAGCAUCCGUAGCCGGUUCUACAAGUCUUCCGUUAAAUCCACCUGCUUAACAGAUGGGCUGCGGAGGAUACUAUGGAGCUAGGAGGCGGGAGAGGCAAGCGGUACUUAGUGGGUAGGGGUAAAAUCCGUUGAUCCAUUGAAGACCACCAGUGGCGAAGGCGGUGCUCUGGGCCGGAACUGACGCUGAGGAGCGAAAGCGUGGGGAGCAAACAGG
This 253-nucleotide ribosomal RNA is filed under the name uncultured bacterium. RNAcentral's name for it is "partial 16S ribosomal RNA". It matches the Rfam family "Archaeal small subunit ribosomal RNA", at positions 474 to 727 of the family's 1478-position model. The record is from RNAcentral.